CAACGUUACUUUGACUUUAAGCGAGGCUUAAAACUCUCUCUGUUUCAUUUUAAAGCGAAAAAGAGACAGAAGCAGAGAGAGUUUUAAACCUUGCUCAAAGUAACGUUGGUGC
Molecule: microRNA precursor, 112 nt
Filed under: Atta cephalotes
Lineage: Eukaryota; Metazoa; Arthropoda; Insecta; Hymenoptera; Formicidae
Description: microRNA mir-276
Source: RNAcentral